CGCCUCUGUUCUUGAAGAAUUGCAUGGUGAUCCAGCUGUUUUUGGACUACAACUCCCAUCAUCCCUCGCUAGCAAGACCAGUGGUCAAGGAUGAUGGGAAUUGUAGUCCAAAAACAGCUGGAGGCCCAAGGUUGGGGAACACUGCCCUAAGCUCUUUCCCUGUCACUGACACCUAGUAGUAAUAGCCCCUGAAACAACUGUUCAGAGCUGAAUAGCAUCAGCAUUGUUUUACAUAUUGAAAUAAGCCCAGGAAAUGGGGACAGGGAAAGGAUACUCACACUGCGGAAUGCAAUCUGUAAUUCUGUCCCCUUUCCUAAACUGAGGAGGCAGGACCAUCUUGGAUAGCCUGUCCAAUGAGCAUAGUAGCAAGUAGAUGCAAGCCAGCCUCUAUUGUGUAGUUUAGCAGCUUCUUCCAGUCUACACUUUGAUCUGCAUUCCAUAAUGUAACAGCUGGGUGUUGUACCUGUCAAUAUUUGCACUGGAAAUGAUAGGUCACAUCCUGGUUCUUCUCAUUGUGCAAGCAUGCCUGUAUUCCAUAUGCUUCUAUUUGUCAUUCUAGCCCUCUCAUCUGCAGCCGUGCAUUCUGAUGGGAUGCAGUUUAGCAGCAUGACGUUUCCAUUUGUUUACAUGUAUGAACUACUUGAGAUUCCUGCAUUGCAAGGGGGUUGGAUUAGAUGACCCUCGGGGUCCCUUCCAAAUCUAUGAUUCUAUGAAUACAUUGCAUUCCUCCUGCUGAUUUAUAAAGGCAGACUCCUUUAUAGUGGCAAAACGAGCUGCACCACUUGUGUGUGAAAGUCAUAUGGUGUUAAUUUGUUGGGGAUGAGGGAAGAAUUAGCAAUUCUAUCGAUGAUCAAACUGUGACUAUUAUUGCCAACUAGUUGUUUUAUUUAUUACAAUUAGUUAUAUUUAUCAUGCGCCUUUCAAGAUCUAAAUCCUACCAAGGCAGCUUACAAGUAAUAUUCAAGUGCAUACCUCAAAAACACAAUAAACAAUACUAAUAUAUUAAAAUACAUCAGAAUCCUUCCAACAGGGCAGUAGAUCACCGUGUGGUGAGGGGAGCAAAUCUAGGGGUGGGGUGUUCUCCUGUCUCCCGUUCCUAGAAGCCUUCAUGCAGGAGUGUUGAUGGUAGAUUGUCCUGGUGGGAAAAGGAGGCAAGAGAGUAGGGAAAGGGAUCAGUAGGGUGAGAUGGUGCAGAGUUUUAUAUCUCUUAAUGCUAAGUUAUUUAGGACUCCUUUGUCAUUUAGGAGUAACCAACUAAAUGUAUGCAUAAAUUUGAAGCCAAUGCCUUUUCUUAGGGGCUGUUGGACAUUACUUUAACUGUGCCUCUUGAAUAUACCCGCAGUGGAGGUGAACGGUCCUCUAUUUUGAACAAGUGUCCUGGAAGGCACCACAUUGUAAAGUUAUCUUUUGGCAACUCUUGAGAGGGCCCUCGGCAAAUAGUCAGAAUAUAUUAAUUUGAAAUCAUCUUUGCAGAACAAUUUUCUCCGAAGAACUGAGGGCAGUACGUUGUAACAAUAUGGCUGAACAGUGAAUUGAACCUGGGUCUUCUUGGUUGACCUAGUGCAACGCUGUAUUCAACUUAUCCCAUGGCUCUCCUGCAGAGAGUGCCAAACUUUUCUUCAGGAAAGCAAUUCCGAUCAAGCUGAGCAGAGUAAUGUGUGGUGCUGUACUGGCCUUGAGUAAAGAGAUUUCACUCCUGAGAACUUGGCACCACAGACAUUGCAAUCUUUAUUGAUUGGCUACCUAAGAGUUUUCUCUGCAUGUUGAAGUGAUUUCUAAAUUGACCUCUCUGUUGUACCCCUGCAGCAGUAUGCACUAGUCACGAGAAGGAAUCAGCUGAAGAAAAGCCAAUGGAACAGCUGGCAUCUAGAGGAAAGAAGACAAACUGGGAGGGGGAGCAGUGUUAAUGUUAAUACCUUUCAGGUUUAUCUUGGAACUAAAAUGUUAGUUCAUCUGAGGACACAAACCACAGAGAAAUGGAACCUAUAGAAAUGUAGAGUUUAAAGUAGACGUGAAAAAAGUUGAUGCUCCACUAGACUUGCGCCUAAAUGUUACCCGUCUUGAUUGAUCCCCGGGUACCGGUAGGUGUGAGGAAUGCAUAUCCUGUAAAAUUAAGUACUCUGGUUUUCCUGGUCCUUUCCUUGCCUGUGUUUUCCCCAGUUGCCUGAAGGUUUUCCAGUUGUCUGAAGACUGAGCUUAGAAGUUAGUUAGGUUUGUUCAGAGCUGCUGAAUGCCAAGCUUUCCAUCACUCUCCAAUUAUGAUCUCAUAGGCGACGGCUUCAGAACUCUCAAGUCAGCAGCAGCAGGUGAGGUUUUAACAACUCUCCGUAGGACAGAUUGUUGUCUAGGCCCUCCCCAACCUGGAGCCCUUCAAAUGCUUUGGACUACGGCUGCCCUCCGCCACAGCUAAUGGAGGAAAAGGCUAUCAAUGGUUACUAGUCAUGAGGAGUGUGUUCUACCUCUCCUAUUGGAGACAGUUUGCCUCUGAAUAUUAUUUGCUGGAAAAUGACUCCAGAAGAGAGGCCUAUUUUGCCUAUGUCCAGCUUGGGGACCUCCCAUAGGUAACUGAUUAGUCACUGUAGGGAACAGGAUGCUGGACUAGAGGCCUUUAUUUGCAUCCAGUAGGGCUCUUAUUAGGAAACGGGAGGCAUCCAAUGGAGAGAAGGAGCAGUAGUCCCUCCCUUUUUUUCUUCCCACCUCCCCUUCCUUCCCGUUGGUCAGACAAAGACUCACUUGACAUGCUAAAACCUGAUAAAAUGUGGCUGCUUACGUUUAUGCUCGGUUCUACAGAUCCACACCCUCUUACCAAACAAAGGCAAGGUCCGGUAAAAUUAUUAAACAGGAACGGUCUUGGGAACCUGUCUGCAAGUUUCAGAUUCCUCCACCUUAUGCAUACACCCAGGUAUUUACCAAAGAAGGAAUCUCUUGGAGUGGAUGGUGAACAGCAACAGAGUGGAAAAGUAGAGCAGUGGCAUUUUACUGACUUCAAAACUCAAGGGAAGAAAGACCAGGAGGAGGAGGAGGAGAAUAACAGUAGGUUUAGCAUCCUUUGUAUUUCCUUGGAAUCUCACAGGAUCUGUGCGAUGGAGCCACUAUCUGAUAGCAACUCAGCAGAGGGAGGGAGAGUAUGGACACAGUAACUUCAUCAACAUUACCAGACGGCUUGAUGGUGGAAUGAAAAACAAAGAUGCAGCGGAGAAAGACCAAAGAGGAUGACAAUCUGAUCGCAGAUGAGCAGGAUCUCCAGGAGGCCGGUUAUGGGAGCUUAAAGACCUCGGAGGACUACAUAUACGAAUUCAUCACCUUGGGCCCUGAGAAGGUCUCAAAACAGACCACUUAUGAAAGCUUUGCUGAUACCUAUGGGCAGAAUAUAGAGGAUGCCAAGGGUGGGAGGCAACCCAUGAGUUACCCUGAGGUCCCACGGAGGAAUAAACAAGCGCCAUUAAGCCAUGCUGUAAAGAGCACUGCAAACCUCUUCAGUGAUGAGACAGCCAGGAUAGACUUUAUUCUGGUAUGGGAAUCAGAUUACCAGAAUUUGGAAGGACAAGGUGAUGUGGCUGAGAAAUCAAAUCGAAGGCAGAAGAGAUCGCUUGAAAUACACAGUGUGUGGCGAGAGAAUUUUCUGAAGAAACUCCAGAAGAAAGGGAUUAGAAUGGAAAAGCACGUUGCCCAGAAUGCAAGGAAGCUGGUGCACUUUAUAUUGCUGAGCGCUCCUUGGAGUGUGCUCUGUUAUUAUGCUGAAGACCUCAGGCUGAGGGUUCCUUUGCAGGUUGUGCCCAAUAUUCAGGCUGUAGCUAACUGGUCUCACAGGUUGCUGGUGAAGCUGGGCAUCCCCAAUAUGCUGUAUGAUGAGGUUCCUAACUUUCCCUUGGAUUACUACACCUGUCAUUUCAAGGCAAAUAAAUUACCCUGGUUUCUUGGGAGUGAACAUCACGAUACCUUCUUCAACACCACACAGCGACACAGAAUACUAUAUGAGAUCCUGGCCACCACGUCAUAUGGCAACCCUAAGGCAGGACAGGUUGGAAUAGAAAGGUUGUUGAAUGAGGAGGUCUUCACAGCUGCAUUCCCAUUGCAUGAUGGUCCCUACAAGAUUCCCCAGAAGGAGAUCCCCCAUAUUCAGCUAAAUCAGAGGCAGAUUCUUUUCCAUUACUGGGCCCAGUGGAGUAAGUGGAAUAAGUACCAGCCAUUGGAUCACAUCCGCAGGUACUUUGGGGAGAAGAUUGCUCUCUACUUUGCCUGGCUUGGUUUCUACACUGGAUGGCUUUUGCCAGCAGCUGUAGUGGGGACACUAGUCUUCAUAAUAGGCAUAUUUAUGAUGCUUGAUGACAUCCCUACGAAGGAGAUCUGUACCAGUGAGGGGAAAUACAACAUGUGCCCACUCUGCAAAGUCUGCCCCUAUUGGAACCUCUCCACCAUUUGCCCAAUGUUUCAGGCUGGUCGCCUCUUUGAUCAUGGUGGGACUGUCUUCUUCAGUAUCUUCAUGUCUUUAUGGGCAGUCACAUUCCUUGAAUACUGGAAGCGGCUGAAUGCUACCUUGACAUACCGCUGGGACUGUUCAGACUUCGAAGAUAUUGAGGAACGUCCACGGCCCCAAUUCACUGCUAUGGCACCCAUGACAACCACAAAUCCAAUCACUGGAGCGGAGGAGCCCUAUUUCCCCACACGGAGCCGUUUCAAAAGAAUCAUGGCUGGAUCAAUGGUCAUCAUCAUGAUGAUUGCUGUGGUGGUGAUGUUCCUGAUUUCGAUAAUCCUUUACCGGGCCAUCAUUGCCGUAGUUGUAGCCAAGUCUGGGAAAUACCUUCUUGUAGCUUCGGCUUCUCGUAUUGCUAGCCUCACUGGCUCAGUGGUGAACCUCCUCUUCAUCCUCAUCCUAUCAAAAAUUUACACUUCACUGGCACUUUUUCUUACCAAGUGGGAGAUGCAUCGUACACAGACCAUGUUUGAAGAUGCGUUCACCUUCAAGGUGUUUGUCUUUGAGUUCAUCAAUUUCUACUCCUCUCCCAUCUACAUUGCGUUCUUUAAGGGCAGGUUUGUAGGCUAUCCAGGACGCUAUUCCACAUUGUUGGGUAUCCGCAAUGAAGAUUGUGGUCCAGGUGGCUGCCUCAUUGAACUUGCCCAAGAGCUGCUUGUCAUCAUGGUGGGAAAGCAAAUAAUUAAUAAUGUACAGGAGCUCCUCAUCCCGAAGUUGAAAUCAUGGUGGCAGAAGCGGAAGUCUCACUCUAACAGGAAUGAGGGCCAGGAAAGCUCCACGAAGCAGCUCUGGGAGAGUGAUUACGAACUGCUGCCCUAUGAAGGGCUCUUUAACGAAUACCUGGAAAUGGUCCUGCAGUUUGGCUUCAUUACCAUCUUUGUGGCCGCCUGCCCCUUGGCACCUCUCUUUGCCUUGCUCAACAACUGGGUGGAAAUUCGCUUGGAUGCUCACAAAUUUGUUUGUGAAUAUAGGCGGCCGGUUGCUGAGCGGGCCCAAGGCAUGGGCAUCUGGUUCCCUAUCCUGGAAGUCAUCACACACCUGGCAGUCGUUAGCAAUGCCUUUCUGAUUGCCUUCACCUCUGACUUCCUCCCUCGGCUAUAUUACCAGUACACUCAUGCCAGCGAUCUACAGGGCUACAUUGACUUCACCCUGGCCUAUGCCCCAAAAUCUUUUGUCCUGGAGCACAAUGUCACAUGCAGCUCUAUCUCCACAGGUACAGAGCAUAUCGAGAACAAAGUGGCAGCACGUGGUCUUCUUCAUUGCACGUCUGAUUGAUAUGAUGGUGCCCGACAUCCCAGAAGUGGUGGAGAUCAAAGUGAAGCGAGAGCAGUAUCUAGCUAAAGAGGCUCUGGCUGAGAACAAGGCCCUCACCGAAGUGAUAGAUGCAAGAAAUCCAACCCCUCUGGCAGACAAAGCACCAUAGUAGGCUCACGAUGCUGAAAUACAUUCUGAUUUUGAUCCAGGCCAAGUUGCCAAGCUUCUGGAAGAGCAAGGGGUGGGGAGGUGAGCAGCCUAAAAGAAUUUGACAAAAAGUGACACUUCUCUGCACAAGUGCUGUACUGCAGAAGGAGACUUGGAGCUUUUAAAGGCUUCAGGAAUUUGAUCGAUCCAGCUGCUGCUUUAAGGACUUUGAGAAGUGUCAACUUGGAAAGGACAAGAUAUACAUGGAGAAUGGAUAAAUCUAACCAGCCCACUCAUCAGCUCUGCAAUCAUUUGCCUAAAUGAACAGCUUUGUCAGGCUUUCCAUGUCCUCACUGCCCAAGAAGUGACUUCUACUGAUAUUUAUAGAGUUAUAGUCUAGCAGUGAGCACAGAGGAGUCCUACAUUCCUGUUUACAAAGAGGGAGGGCUGCUUUUUAACUUGUGAAGAAGUACUGCUUAGCGACAAGGAAUCUUCCAAAGAGGGAAGAAGCUGCAUCACUUGAAUGGCUUAUAAGAGUGAGAGCUGCUCUGAUGAGCUAAGGGGCAAUUACUGGAGAGUAGCUGUGUACUUUGCUUAGCAUGCAGUGGCCAGCUUAACAGAAGAUUACUGCUUGAGAAGGCAACCAUUUGAGAGCUUGUACUGAGCUUCACAAGCUGCCUGCUCCUCCCUUCCUCUCACACAAGCAAUACAAGACUGUGAGUAUCUUCUGCAUAUCAGUUUGAAUCUGCUUUAGCUGGAAGCUGCAAUGUGGCAUAUGCCAAAUACUAGUGAUUGCAAUCAUGAUUAAACAGUACCCCUGCUGACAGCAAAUGGGCAGAAUCUGUCCAACAUUCAGUACGAACAGCUAAAAAGUCCAAGUUCUUUUACAAUUGUUUGGAAUUAAUUGUGAAAGGUUAAGAGUUAGCAGCUGUUCAGUAUUUCAUUAGGAAGGCAGGUAGAAAUUUUGAAUUAGUGACUUCUUUAAAAAAAACCACUAAAGUAUACAGAAAAUAAAGACAACCACUCAAAAGCUGUUUCAGGUUUUAUUUUAUUUUUUUAGAAUUUAUAAAAUUCCAGUGUCAUCCAUACUCAUGAGCCUUUAUACAUGUUUUGCAUAUAAUCUCCAAAUUCCAAAGUUAAGGCCAAGGGAUCAUUGCCAUGGAAACAUAAUAUGGAAGACAUUAAGAGGACAUGGAGCACACCUCCGCAGAGCAUCUGCUGCAGACUACAUGGGACAGAGGGGGUAGAGUACUCUCAACAGUUUGAACAAAUGGCUGGGUUGGGGGCCCAUGCUCAAUGGCAGUUGAAGCCUAAAAACACAUGUGCAAGUGAUGUGACUGACAUUCAGACACCAGGUAUACUACUGGCAAUACAUUAAAACACUACUACCCUG
Podarcis muralis (Common wall lizard) is the source of this 7268-nucleotide non-coding RNA. NCBI's taxonomy places the organism in Eukaryota, Metazoa, Chordata, Lepidosauria, Squamata, Lacertidae. The record is from RefSeq and is a predicted model, not a curated record.